CCCUUAGAUGUUCUGGGCCGCACACGCGCUACACUGAAGGAGGCAGCGUGUACUCCUGGAUCGAAAGAUUUGGGUAACCCGCGAAUCUCCUUCGUGCUAGGGAUUGAGGUUUGCAAUUAUCCUUCAUGAACGAGGAAUUCCCAGUAAGUGCAAGUCAUAAGCUUGCGCUGACUACGUCCCUGCCCUUUGUACACACCGCCCGUCGCUACUACCGAUUGAAUGAUUUAGUGAGGACUUCGGACUGGGACCGAUGCGGCUUUCUGGCUGCGUCGGUAUUCUGGAACGAUGUCCAAACUGUAUCAUUUAGAGGAAGUAAAAGUCGUAACA
RNAcentral lists this ribosomal RNA (327 nucleotides) under uncultured eukaryote. RNAcentral describes it as "partial 18S ribosomal RNA". It matches the Rfam family "Eukaryotic small subunit ribosomal RNA", at positions 1470 to 1796 of the family's 1831-position model. The record is from RNAcentral.